UUUGUGCUCUUUGGUCGGGCCAAGGGAGCACGGUAAGAGCCAGCCGCCGCAAGGGGAUGGCCCCCUUGCGGAAGAACCCUGUUAGCUUAC
Thermus thermophilus HB8 is the source of this 90-nucleotide regulatory RNA element. It matches the Rfam family "Thermales-rpoB RNA". Lineage: Bacteria; Thermotogati; Deinococcota; Deinococci; Thermales; Thermaceae. The record is from Rfam.